GCUGACGAGUGGCGGACGGGUGAGUAAUGUCUGGGAAACUGCCUGAUGGAGGGGGAUAACUACUGGAAACGGUGGCUAAUACCGCAUAACGUCGCAAGACCAAAGAGGGGGACCUUCGGGCCUCUUGCCAUCAGAUGUGCCCAGAUGGGAUUAGCUAGUUGGUGAGGUAACGGCUCACCAAGGCGACGAUCCCUAGCUGGUCUGAGAGGAUGACCAGCCACACUGGAACUGAGACACGGUCCAGACUCCUACGGGAGGCAGCAGUGGGGAAUAUUGCACAAUGGGCGCAAGCCUGAUGCAGCCAUGCCGCGUGUAUGAAGAAGGCCUUCGGGUUGUAAAGUACUUUCAGCGGGGAGGAAGGUGUUGUGGUUAAUAACCGCAGCAAUUGACGUUACCCGCAGAAGAAGCACCGGCUAACUCCGUGCCAGCAGCCGCGGUAAUACGGAGGGUGCAAGCGUUAAUCGGAAUUACUGGGCGUAAAGCGCACGCAGGCGGUCUGUCAAGUCGGAUGUGAAAUCCCCGGGCUCAACCUGGGAACUGCAUUCGAAACUGGCAGGCUUGAGUCUUGUAGAGGGGGGUAGAAUUCCAGGUGUAGCGGUGAAAUGCGUAGAGAUCUGGAGGAAUACCGGUGGCGAAGGCGGCCCCCUGGACAAAGACUGACGCUCAGGUGCGAAAGCGUGGGGAGCAAACAGGAUUAGAUACCCUGGUAGUCCACGCCGUAAACGAUGUCUACUUGGAGGUUGUGCCCUUGAGGCGUGGCUUCCGGAGCUAACGCGUUAAGUAGACCGCCUGGGGAGUACGGCCGCAAGGUUAAAACUCAAAUGAAUUGACGGGGGCCCGCACAAGCGGUGGAGCAUGUGGUUUAAUUCGAUGCAACGCGAAGAACCUUACCUGGUCUUGACAUCCACAGAACUUUCCAGAGAUGGACUGGUGCCUUCGGGAACUGUGAGACAGGUGCUGCAUGGCUGUCGUCAGCUCGUGUUGUGAAAUGUUGGGUUAAGUCCCGCAACGAGCGCAACCCUUAUCCUUUGUUGCCAGCGGUUAGGCCGGGAACUCAAAGGAGACUGCCAGUGAUAAACUGGAGGAAGGUGGGGAUGACGUCAAGUCAUCAUGGCCCUUACGACCAGGGCUACACACGUGCUACAAUGGCGCAUACAAAGAGAAGCGACCUCGCGAGAGCAAGCGGACCUCAUAAAGUGCGUCGUAGUCCGGAUUGGAGUCUGCAACUCGACUCCAUGAAGUCGGAAUCGCUAGUAAUCGUGGAUCAGAAUGCCACGGUGAAUACGUUCCCGGGCCUUGUACACACCGCCCGUCACACCAUGGGAGUGGGUUGCAAAAGAAGUAGGUAGCUUAACCUUCGGGAGGGCGCUUACCACUUUGUGAUUCAUGACUGGGGUGAAGUCGUAACAAGGUAACCGUAGGGGAACCUGCGGUUGGAUCACCUCCUUACCUUAAAGAA
RNAcentral lists this ribosomal RNA (1459 nucleotides) under Salmonella enterica subsp. enterica serovar Bovismorbificans. Its description in RNAcentral is "bacterial SSU rRNA". It matches the Rfam family "Bacterial small subunit ribosomal RNA". Lineage: Bacteria; Pseudomonadati; Pseudomonadota; Gammaproteobacteria; Enterobacterales; Enterobacteriaceae. The record is from RNAcentral. RNAcentral also lists the same sequence under 1 other name.